Molecule: transfer RNA, 72 nt
Filed under: Salmo salar (Atlantic salmon)
Lineage: Eukaryota; Metazoa; Chordata; Actinopteri; Salmoniformes; Salmonidae
Rfam family: tRNA
About the family: Transfer RNA (tRNA) molecules are approximately 80 nucleotides in length. Their secondary structure includes four short double-helical elements and three loops (D, anti-codon, and T loops).
Source: Rfam by way of RNAcentral
CUCCCUGUGGCUCAGUUGGUAGAGCAUGGUGUUUGCAACGCCAGGGUUGUGGGUUCAAAUCCCACGGGGGGC